RNAcentral lists this unclassified non-coding RNA (323 nucleotides) under soil metagenome. Its description in RNAcentral is "partial contains 5.8S ribosomal RNA, internal transcribed spacer 2, and large subunit ribosomal RNA". The stretch from base 1 to 120 matches the Rfam family "5.8S ribosomal RNA", at positions 35 to 154 of the family's 154-position model. The record is from RNAcentral.
GAUGAAGAACGUAGCGAAAUGCGAUAAGUAAUGCGAAUUGCAGAAUUCAGUGAGUCAUCGAAUCUUUGAACGCACAUUGCGCCCUGUGGUAUUCCGCAGGGCAUGCCUGUUCGAGCGUCAUUUCAACCCUCAAGCUCUGCUUGGUGUUGGGCCCUGCCCGCUGCGGCCGGCCCUAAAGACAGUGGCGGUGCCGCCUGGCCCUGAGCGUAGUACAUCUCUCGCUCCAGUGCCCGGUGGUAGCCUGCCAGAACCCCAACUCUCGUGGUUGACCUCGGAUCAGGUAGGGAUACCCGCUGAACUUAAGCAUAUUAAUAAGCGGAGGA